AUGACCAGGAAGGAGAGCAGAUAUCUGGCUCCUGAUGCAGGGAGAGAAGCCUGCUGAGUGGGAAUGGGACUGGAACUGCUGGCAGACAGAGCUUCCUGGAAGGAAAGUGGGACUCCCUUAGGAAACCCAAGGCAGUGGUAAAGGAAAGCUGGGGGAAUUUAUUUGCUCGGAUGGGACACCUUUUCUGGAUGAAGAGAACUAAGAUGAAAGGCAGAGCAACUGAGAACUCUUCUUCUUUUCACCACAAAAAUAAAUGAGGAACAAAGAGGAUUAACAGGGAAUAUUUUUUUGUGGGAAAUUCCAAAGAAGGGAGUUUCCUUCCAAAAAUACAAGCCAAUAUUUUUCUAAAGUGACUAGUGAUUUUGAGUGCCUCAGUUGUUGGGUGCCUUAGAUGGACACCUGGCUUCAAUAAGGUGCGUACUGCCUUACUUCAUGAUGCUGACUUCUUGGAUCGUGGAUGGCAGCACAAUGGGGAGAACGGCUGCCACGGGGAUGCUAUGCCUUCUCCCCACAAAAGGGGGGCAGGGCAGUUUUUACUGGCUCCACCCCUCCCCUCCCCACCCCCAGCUAGUAUAGCUACCCAGACCUGACGGGACGUGCAAGCAAGAAACAGAUACUGAAUCUCUGGGAAGCCAAACGUGACUCAGUCUGUCUGAGGCAGCAAGAGAAGGUGCUUCCCCCAGAGCUCAGGGCAUGGGCCAAAACCACGGCUGAGCCUGUAGAAAGAACACAGAGAAUAAUUUGGCUGAAUUUUUCUAAAGAGGGUUGUCACCCCUCGAAUGGCUCUCCCUUUGCCUUGUGGAAUUUCCUGUUCUCCCAACACCCAGCUGCCCACUUCUGUGGCAUGUUGGGGCAGGGGUGGGGGCAGUUACAGAGACUAACCUCGAGACUAGGGGGUUCUCAAACUGGGGGUCGUGACCCCUCAGGGGAUUGCAAGGUUAUUACAUGGGGGGUCAGAAGCUGUCAGCUUCCACCCCCAAAUCACGCUUUGCCUCCAGCAUUUAUAAGUGUUAAACAUAAUGGGAGGGCUGGGGCGGGUUCGCACUCAGGUUUUCUGUGUGAACGGUGUCGCCAACGCAAAAGUUUGAGAACCGCUGCUCUAGACUGCUGGACAAGCUGAGACCUGGCAGUGUCAAGUUCAACUCUCUGAAUGUUACAGUUAAACACACGUGCCAGCUAAAAGCAUUCAUUUGGCAGCGGACCUGGAAAAAAGCCACUAUUGUAAGGGUUAAUACCAGGACAUGGCUCCUGGACCCAUUGAAAACACUUCAUAAAGCCAGCAAAGCGAAUUAUACCCAGUCCUCGAAAGCCAGACCCCAAGCAAGCAGGCUAAACUCACAGCUCCACUAAUUCAAGUGGAAGGAAAGCAAAAUGCCUGCAGGUAUUGCCAUGCAGUGGGACAAUUCCUAUCCGUGUUUUCUAUUGUAGCUGUUUCCUGUGGUGGGUUUUUUUUUUUUCCCUCUUUUUUUCUGUUCUCCAGUGCUAGGUAAAUAAGAGUAACACACUCUUAUUCUUUCUGGGAGCUCAUGUUUCUCUACACUGCACUGAUGCUUGCUCUUAUUGUUACCAGCGAUGGUGGGAAAAUGACAGUGCCUUGCCCCGUAGGGAGCCCCAGCAGGCGUUGGGCAAGUAACACCUGACCAUUAAGAAAACUCCAGAAUGAGGAUUCCCUCUGUGCACUCCUCCCGCCAAGCUGCCAGGGCUCCAGGCUGAGCUGUGCUGGCUUCUCCGUGACAGAAGCUCUGAGCCACCUUGAUGAUGAUUCCUUGAUGACAAUUUCACAGGCUGUCAGUGACCGUUGUGCCUGAGUGGGCCUGCUGAAGGGUAAUGGGAUUUAAUUGCUCUUUGGAGGAGAGGAGACACUAAUUUUUUUUUUUUUGGCACUGUGAGAUGCAUUUUAAAAAGAGCUUUAUGAGGUGAGGCGGGAAGGGGGAAGGGGAGUGGAAAUGGAUAUUCAUUUCUACAGGGGGCUGAAGCAGCUUUGGAAAGCAAAUAGAAUCCCAAAGGUAUUUUUAAAGUCCUUUGUCGAUCAGGGAGCAGAUCCUCAGCCGGUGUGCUAUGUUGGAGCCAGUGGAGUUAGGCUGAUCUACUCCAGUUAGAAUCUAGCCCACCCCCCCCCAUCUGUAUUUUGUUUCUUUGGCAUUUCUGUUGCUUCGGUGUGUGACGAUCACCCCCAAUAGGAGGAGGCAAGGUUUGCAGCGCAAGGCUAAUUUGCUUGCUCAUCAGCUCUGGAAUUCCAACCUGCUUUUGGUCCUAAGUGACCUGCAUUUGAUCAUAUCGCUCCCGUCACUAGUGGAUGUCUGUCCAGAUGGCACAAUUGCCCCCACAAUUUAAUUUGGCACCAUCUGGCUUUCUCUGCUCAGUGUAUGAAAUAGCAGGGGGCAUUGGCAGGCCAGAGAAGAAGGGCAGAUCUGACAGAGUUACUGUGGGGCGAGCCUGUCCAAACUGUGCCUGGCACCAGCCACUGAUACCAGUCUCUCUCACGUUCAUGGGCAUUAAAAUUCACUCCCUCUCUGGGAAAUAAAAGGAAAACUUAGCCCCUUCCAUCCCCAGCAAGCGUUCUGAAAAUGGUGCAAGGUCACACGAACUUUUCCUCUUUGUUCUCCUUCCCUGCUCUCUUGACUGGCGAGAGGGGCCCUGGCAAAUCCUAUUUAUUCAUUUUUCAUUCUUAGCUGUGCAUUUGAAACUCUAACUAGUGCCAAGGGAAAUGAGCAGCAGCCUCCCACUGGCAGAACCCCCUCAAAGAGGCAAGGGACCAUCAGAGAUACUGAUUGCAGUGCGGGCUUGCACUAUCAAAGAACCAACAGUUUUGCUCCAUACCUGGAAGGACCAUAAAGCACACUGCAUUGGAAACAGCCUAAAUUAAAAACACCACUGAUGUUAUCUGUUGCAGAAAUAUUGAUCUUUGUUAAAAAUAGUCUUUACUGCUUGUUUCACACUGCUCCUGCAAUUUCUUAUUUAUUAAGAGCUCUCUUAAGGAAAGUCACCAUCCUGAGCUUAAACAUUCCUCCUUAAUACACCCUUUCUAAUAUGUAGCCUAAAUCUACUUUGUUUGUUUGCUUCUCCCGUGUGUUUUUUUUU
Molecule: long non-coding RNA, 3081 nt
Organism: Chelonia mydas (Green sea turtle)
Lineage: Eukaryota; Metazoa; Chordata; Testudines; Cheloniidae
Exons: 2
Source: RefSeq, a predicted model, not a curated record